RNAcentral lists this transfer RNA (69 nucleotides) under Opsariichthys sp. ZF-11309. Its description in RNAcentral is "tRNA-His". It matches the Rfam family "tRNA". Rfam says of the family: Transfer RNA (tRNA) molecules are approximately 80 nucleotides in length. Their secondary structure includes four short double-helical elements and three loops (D, anti-codon, and T loops). The record is from RNAcentral. Lineage: Eukaryota; Metazoa; Chordata; Actinopteri; Cypriniformes; Xenocyprididae.
GUAAGUAUAGUUUAACCAAAACGUUAGAUUGUGAUUCUAAAGACAGGAGUUAAAACCCCCUUACUCACC